ACUGGUUUAGGGCCUGACCUCGCUGCCGUUGGUGGAGCGGAUGGGCGCCCUGAGCCGCUUGGAUCUGGCUGGGAACGAACUGCGGGCGCUGCCGGCGCUGGGGGCGCUGCGGAGGCUGCGGGUGAGAAACCAGUAUGGACCAGUACAAACCAGUAUAGACCAGUAUAGACCAGUACAGACCAGUACAGGCCAGUACAGGCCAGUACAGGCCAGUAACCAACCCAGUUACACCAGUAACGCACCCCAGUUUGUCCCAGUAACUCCCAGUCCAUCCCAGUUUGAUCCCAGUCCCUCCCAGUAUAAACCAGUCCAAUCCCAGUCCGUCCCAGUCCCUCCCAGUAUAUCCCAGUUUGAUCCCAGUCCGUCCCAGUCUGAUCCCAGUCCGUCCCAGUUUGUCCCAGUCCAUCCCAGUAUAUCCCAGUUUGAUCCCAGUCCCUCCCAGUAUAAACCAGUCCCAUCCCAGUCCAUCCCAGUUUGAUCCCAGUUCAUCCCAGUCCAUCCCAGUCCAUCCCAGUUUGUCCCAGUCCAUCCCAGUAUAUCCCAGUUUGAUCCCAGUUUGUCCCAGUCCAUCCCAGUCCCUCCCAGUCCCUCCCAGUCCCUCCCAGUUUGAUCCCAGUCCCUCCCAGUCCCUCCCAGUCCAUCCCAGUACGUCCCAGUCUGUCCCAGUACGUCCCAGUUUGCAGGAGCUGGAUCUCUCCGGGAACCACGUGACCGAGGUGGGCGUGGCCUCGCCCCUCCCCCGCCUGCGGCUGCUGCGGCUGGACCGGAACCGUACGGGAACCUACUGGUUUAUACUGGUUUAUACUGGUUUAUACUGGUUUAUACUGGUUUGGGCUGGGAAUGGGGCUGGGGGCACUGGGAUAAACUGGGA
Molecule: long non-coding RNA, 871 nt
Filed under: Junco hyemalis (dark-eyed junco)
Lineage: Eukaryota; Metazoa; Chordata; Aves; Passeriformes; Passerellidae
Description: lncRNA (ENSJHYG00000001929.1)
Source: RNAcentral